Molecule: RNA transcript, 1385 nt
Organism: Penaeus monodon (black tiger shrimp)
Lineage: Eukaryota; Metazoa; Arthropoda; Malacostraca; Decapoda; Penaeidae
Exons: 8
Source: RefSeq, a predicted model, not a curated record
CUUGUCUUCCUUGAGGUACACUUUGCCACUCGUACCAUCGCGCUGUGCUAACCAGGCCCACGCUGUUACUUUUUGUGCUGCAGUCAUGGCCGCUGUUUCCGUGUUCCGUGUUGCUGUUGUGCUGUUCUUUUGUAGGCUUUGCAGAGCUGCUGGGGAUAAGAGUGAGCCAGACCUACACGUGUUCGGUCUGCUCAGGGAGAAGUCGGAGGCUGAGAUGAUCUUCGUGCAUUCAGCUUGCAGACUCAAUCACACAAAUAUUCAGGUGGUGCGCGGGUGGUGCACGUCGGCGAGCUGCGUCGGGCUGGGCCUUCUGAGGGACCGGCUGAGGAGCCUGCCCGAGGCCGACUGGCUCAUCCUUAACGACCUGAGGCAAGGCUUCACCCACGUGAUGGCAAGACCGAAGGACGUGAUGGAUCAGCUGAUCGCCUCGGGGCACUCGCUGAUCCUGGUCCCGCGGCCUCACACGCCGGGGCUGAAGGAGGCGAUGGAGAAGCAGAUGGCGGAGGCGCUGAAGGGGAAGGAAGGAGAGGCACCCGGGGAAGGAAAGCGAGAAGGAGGAAAAGAGGAGAAGGCCAAGAAAACGGGAGAUAAGGCAGAAGUCGAUGAGGCAGCGCUCCAGAAGGCUGUGUAUAACGCCUUGAAGGGAGGGUCAGUCAUCGGUCGAGUAGGCGUGGUCCUCAAAGUCCUGGAGACGGGCGUGGCUAAUAAAGAAGAGGGCGUGGUCAAGGAAGAGGUUGUGACAAAAGCUUUCACCGACACGAAAGCCGAGUACGUUUUCUUCGGUGGCAGACAGCACGGUGAAAUGAGCAUCCAGGUCCCCAUCAGAAUCAAGUUUAUCCCCGCAAAAGGGCGCAGAAGACGCAGAAGGAGGAGGCAAAGGAGCCGAAGGAGGCGAGGGAGGCGAGGAUGCAGCAGGGGGAGAGAGGCCUCACACCACUCCGUUCCUCAUUCACACCGACGAGGAGAAACCUGAGAUCUACAACAUGAUCGAGGCCAUGGGGGAAGGUCCUGCCUCCUGCCCCCUUGAGGUCGUCGACGCUAAGGAUAAAAAGGACAACAGCGUAAGAGAAGCAGAAGAAGGAGCAGAAGAAGGAGGAGAAGCAGGAGGAGCAGAAGAAGGAGCAGAAGCAGGAGGAGCAGGAGACGAGCAGCCUCCUCGCAUCCUCGUGGCCGUCCUCCUGGCUGGCUCCUGGACGCCCUUCCUACGCGAGGUCCUCCAAGGGCUCGAGGAACAGGAUUACCCGAAGGACAGAGUGGGCGUCUGGAUUCAUGCGAAGCCGGGAUUGCAGGAGGAGGAGAUCGAAGCCUUUAGAACAAAGAACAAGGAUCUCUACGCGGAUCUGGAAGUUUCUACCGUGGAGGCAAUCAGCGUGGAUACUCUGAGG